UGUAGCAGUGAAAUGCGUAGAGAUGUGGAGGAAUACCGAUGGCGAAGGCAGCCUCCUGGGAUAACACUGACGUUCAUGCUCGAAAGCGUGGGUAGCAAACAGGAUUAGAUACCCUGGUAGUCCACGCCCUAAACGAUGACAAUUAGCUGUUGGGACACUAGAUGUUUUAGUAGCGAAGCUAACGCGUGAAAUUGUCCGCCUGGGGAGUACGGUCGCAAGAUUAAAACUCAAAGGAAUUGACGGGGACCCGCACAAGCGGUGGAUGAUGUGGAUUAAUUCGAUGCAACGCGAAGAACCUUACCUGGUCUUGACAUGUACGGAAUCUCUUAGAGAUAGGAGAGUGCCUUCGGGAGCCGUAACACAGGUGCUGCAUGGCUGUCGUCAGCUCGUGUCGUGAGAUGUUGGGUUAAGUCCCGCAACGAGCGCAACCCUUGUCAUUAGUUGCCAUCAUUAAGUUGGGCACUCUAAUGAGACUGCCGGUGACAAACCGGAGGAAGGUGGGGAUGACGUCAAGUCCUCAUGGCCCUUAUGACCAGGGCUUCACACGUCAUACAAUGGUCGGUACAGAGGGUAGCGAAGCCGCGAGGUGAAGCCAAUCUCAGAAAGCCGAUCGUAGUCCGGAUUGCACUCUGCAACUCGAGUGCAUGAAGUCGGAAUCGCUAGUAAUCGCAGGUCAGCAUACUG
RNAcentral lists this ribosomal RNA (684 nucleotides) under uncultured Snodgrassella sp. Its description in RNAcentral is "bacterial SSU rRNA". It matches the Rfam family "Bacterial small subunit ribosomal RNA", at positions 674 to 1359 of the family's 1533-position model. Lineage: Bacteria; Pseudomonadati; Pseudomonadota; Betaproteobacteria; Neisseriales; Neisseriaceae. The record is from RNAcentral.